This 304-nucleotide ribosomal RNA is filed under the name uncultured bacterium. Its description in RNAcentral is "bacterial SSU rRNA". It matches the Rfam family "Bacterial small subunit ribosomal RNA", at positions 30 to 334 of the family's 1533-position model. The record is from RNAcentral.
AUUGAACGCUGGCGGCAUGCCUUACACAUGCAAGUCGAACGGCAGCACGGACUUCGGUCUGGUGGCGAGUGGCGAACGGGUGAGUAAUAUAUCGGAACAUACCCUAGAGUGGGGGAUAACGUAGCGAAAGUUACGCUAAUACCGCAUACGAACUAAGGUUGAAAGUGGGGGAUCGCAAGACCUCAUGCUCAUGGAGUGGCCGAUAUCUGAUUAGCUAGUUGGUGAGGUAAAGGCUCACCAAGGCGACGAUCAGUAGCUGGUCUGAGAGGACGACCAGCCACACUGGAACUGAGACACGGUCCAG